GAAGGAGGGACGGAGACGCGUAAGGCACGCGCACUGACGGAAUAGUGCGUUGAAGUGCGUAGGCUAUGAGACUUAUAGGUAAAUCCGUAAGUUGAGCUGAAACACGAUAGUACACUGAACCUACGGGUGAGGUGAUAGUUGCCCCGAGCAUGCUUCCAAGAAAAGCUUCUAAGCUCUAGGAUAAUACAACCCGUACCGUAAACCGACACAGGUAGUCGAGGAGAGUAUCCUCAGGCGCUCGAGUGAUCCAUGGCUAGGAACUCGGCAAAAUAGACUCGUAACUUCGGGAGAAGAGUCUCCCACCGCAAGGUGGGACGCAGUGAAGAGGCCCAAGCGACUGUUUAGCAAAGACACAGGACUCUGCGAAAUCGAAAGAUGAAGUAUAGGGUCUGACACCUGCCCGGUGCCGGAAGGUUAAGGAAGGGGCUUAGGGAGCAAUCUCGAAGGUCUUAACUGAAGCCCCGGUAAACGGCGGCCGUAACAAUAACGGUCCUAAGGUAGCGAAAUUCCUUGUCGGGUAAGUUCCGACCUGCACGAAUGGUGUAACGAUUUGGGCACUGUCUCAGCCAUGAGCUCGGUGAAAUUGUAGUAUCGGUGAAGAUGCCGAUUACCCGCAACGGGACGGAAAGACCCCGUGAACCUUUACUAUAGCUUCACAUUGUGCUUGAGUAUGGGAUGUGUAGGAUAGGUGGGAGGCUACGAAGCUGUGACGCUAGUCAUGGUGGAGCCGUCGUUGAAAUACCACCCUUCCCAUACUUAGGUUCUAACCCCGCAAGGGGGACAGUGUGUGGUGGGUAGUUUGACUGGGGUGGUCGCCUCCAAAAGAGUAACGGAGGCUCGCAAAGGUACCCUCAGCAUGGACGGUAAUCAUGCGAAGAGCGUAUAAGUACAAGGGUGCUUGACUGAGAGAACGACGGUUCGAACAGGUGCGAAAGCAGGCUUAAGUGAUCCGGUGGUUCUGUAUGGAAGGGCCAUCGCUCAAAGGAUAAAAGGUACUCCCGGGAUAACAGGCUGAUCUCCCCCAAGAGCUCACAUCGACGGGGAGGUUUGGCACCUCGAUGUCGGCUCGUCACAUCCUGGGGCUGGAGAAGGUCCCAAGGGUUGGGCUGUUCGCCCAUUAAAGUGGCACGCGAGCUGGGUUCAGAACGUCGCAAGACAGUUCGGUCCCUAUCUGUUGUGGGCGCAGGAAUAUUGAGGAGAUCUGACUCUAGUACGAGAGGACCGGGUUGGACGUACCGCUAGUGUACCAGUUGUGCCGCCAGGUGCAGCGCUGGGUAGCUAUGUACGGCACGGAUAAGCGCUGAAAGCAUCUAAGCGCGAAGCCGUCUCCAAGAUGAGUAUUCCACUGAGGGUCGUAGAAGAUUACUACGUUGAUAGGUUACAGGUGGAAGCGUAGUGAUGCGUGGAGCCGAGUAAUACUAAUUACCCGAUAGCUUCCUC
RNAcentral lists this ribosomal RNA (1440 nucleotides) under metagenome. RNAcentral describes it as "bacterial LSU rRNA". It matches the Rfam family "Bacterial large subunit ribosomal RNA", at positions 1463 to 2925 of the family's 2925-position model. The record is from RNAcentral.